Non-coding RNA from Phalacrocorax carbo (great cormorant), 1699 nucleotides. The record is from RefSeq and is a predicted model, not a curated record. Lineage: Eukaryota; Metazoa; Chordata; Aves; Suliformes; Phalacrocoracidae.
UUCUGACUUACAGUGUGAAAACAGCAGCUCCUCAGGGUGGGAGCCCGCACAGCACAAUCCUCAGGGAUGUUAUUAAUCCUCCUCUUUUCCCUGCACCCUUCAGUCGCUGCCAUUGCCAGCAUUCCUUCCAGCACUCCCUGCUCUGUUUCUAUAGCAACUGGAGUACACACACGUCCUGAGUCUGGCAGGGCAGCAUGGCGGCAGAGUGGGAGCCGAGAGAUGUGCAGAAGCAGAUCUCAUUUGGGUCAUGUCAAGAGCGGAAAAUGUUCCCUCUCCACCAUGCCCCAGACAGGCUGGGAAUCCAGCUGAUAGCCAUCAGGGGACAUCCUUCGCUUGGACCAGGCUGCUACCCGAAUCAAGAGAGAAGCAGUCUCAGAUACUCUUUGGAAAACAAACCACUGAGCAAGAAAGGCUAUGUGAUAGGAGCGAGAACAGCCCAGCGUUUCAUACCAGAGCCACAGACUGUGACUCCCAGCCCAGCAACGUACCAGUCAUUCUGGAAGAAAGAGAGAAAAUGCCAGCCUGCCUAUGCUCCAUUUUCCAUUAAGACACCACGAUUUCCAUAUAAGCCUUCAGAUAAAGAAUUUUUCCCUGGACCUGGAACUUAUGAAGCAGACAAGCAAUUACACAAAAAAGUCACUUGGCCAAUGAAGUUUGGGUCUCCAGACUGGUCUUUAGUGCCGAUGCCAGCAAGGAGGAUGCUAAAAAUGGAGGUACAGAAGCUGACCAUAGACAGAGAAUUCAGGAAACACCGGGACCGAGUAGCCUACCUGAGUUUAUACUACAGCUGAGGAGCCAGGGCUGACGCCACAAGCCUCCCCUUCCAGCUGGGCAGCUCGGGCCUCACCUCCGCUUCCCACCCACUCAUGGAGACAUUUGUCUGCACUAUCCAGCCUCUCCAAAUAAAACCAUUUCAAAAAGAGGCAUAUUUUUGCCACUGCUUGUGCUUACUUGGUAUCAUGCCAGGUGUCUGCUGCCUCUGCGGGUGUUUGGGUCCCAUGCACAGCACCACUCAGCCCGGCUCCCCUCAGCUCCUUGGCCCAGGCAGGACUGGCAGCCAUUUUCUCUGGGUCGCCAUGGAAACACCUCACCUCACCACCCUCCCCUACAUGGCUUCCCUCACCACAGCGGGCUUUUACCCCCAAAAUCCAAACCCUCAUGGGCAAUGGAGGGGAGCCAAAUUAACACAGCUAGAAGGCAGCCUGGUUUCUGUCCUCAUCUCCUGGGCACUGAGAGCAAAUGGCACCAUCUUCUCCUCAGCUGCCACCUGCCUUCCCCGGCCUCCUCACCACCAUCUCCUCAUCUCCCACAGAUGCUCCAGGCUGGGUCCAGGGACUCACCCACAGCCUGAGGAGAGCUGAGAAACAUGAGGGCGUACCUGGCACAGCCACCGGUACUGCGCUGCCCUCAGGAGAAAAAUACAUGUGUAAGAGAAGACGGAGAAGAACUUAAGCAGUACCUAUGAUUCUGCAGUCCUCCUCAGCCACAUGUUCCACCUGUGACUGGAGAAACCUACUAAAGCUGACGGUAUUUCAAAAGGCACUUUGUCCUCACUGAACAUAUUUCUAAUAAACCAAGGUUUUGUUGGAAAAUUCCCAACCUUCUCAGCUAUCAAGUGUUGCUGUGGAGAAUGGAAGAGAUGCAGAGGGAAGGACAAGACUUCCUACUGCUUUUAGACCCCACUGAACACACACUCAGG